GGCCAGUUAGCUCAGUUGGUUAGAGUGUGGUGCUAAUAACACCAAGGUUGCGGGUUCAAUUCCCUCAUGGGCCA
Rhinolophus ferrumequinum (greater horseshoe bat) is the source of this 74-nucleotide non-coding RNA. Lineage: Eukaryota; Metazoa; Chordata; Mammalia; Chiroptera; Rhinolophidae. The record is from the annotation of a RefSeq genome assembly.